AGACGGGUUCUGAAACCUGGGAUGCGCAAGGAAGCUGACGAGCGGGAGGCCCUCACGGGCCGCACCGCUGGCCGACCCUGAUCUUCUGUGAAGGGUUCGAGUUGGAGCACGCCUGUCGGGACCCGAAAGAUGGUGAACUAUGCCUGAGCGGGGCGAAGCCAGAGAAAACUCUGGUGGAGGCUCGAAGAGAUACUGACGUGCAAAUCGUUCGUCUGACUUGGGUAUAGGGGCGAAAGACUAAUCGAACCAUCUAGUAGCUGGUUCCCUCCGAAGUUUCCCUCAGGAUAGCUGGAGCCCAUUACGAGUUCUAUCAGGUAAAGCCAG
RNAcentral lists this ribosomal RNA (324 nucleotides) under Triticum aestivum (bread wheat). RNAcentral describes it as "partial small subunit ribosomal RNA". It matches the Rfam family "Eukaryotic large subunit ribosomal RNA", at positions 692 to 1017 of the family's 3401-position model. Lineage: Eukaryota; Viridiplantae; Streptophyta; Magnoliopsida; Poales; Poaceae. The record is from RNAcentral.